Molecule: non-coding RNA, 83 nt
Organism: Cryoendolithus antarcticus
Lineage: Eukaryota; Fungi; Ascomycota; Dothideomycetes; Cladosporiales; Cladosporiaceae
Source: the annotation of a GenBank genome assembly
GCAUGAUUGGUGGAAGGGUAUCAUUAACGCUUCCCAUCACACGGAAACUGCGUUAGUACCGAGUUCGAGUCUCGGAUCAUGCA